Molecule: ribosomal RNA, 466 nt
Filed under: uncultured bacterium
Lineage: Bacteria
Description: bacterial SSU rRNA
Rfam family: Bacterial small subunit ribosomal RNA
Source: RNAcentral
CCUACGGGGGGCAGCAGCUAAGAAUCUUCCGCAAUGGGAGCAAUCCUGACGGAGCGAUGCCGCGUGGAUGAUGAAGGCGGAAACGUUGUAAAAUCCUUUUAUAUGGGAAGAAUAAUUAUGGUGAGAGAAACGCCGUAGGAUGACGGUACCAUAUGAAUAAGCUUCGGCUAACUACGUGCCAGCAGCCGCGGUAAUACGUAGGAAGCAAGCGUUGUUCGGAAUUAUUGGGCGUAAAGGGCAUGUAGGUGGUUUGAUAAGUGUGGAUUUAAAGACCGGGGCUUAACUCCGAGUUCGGUCUGCAAACUGUCAAACUAGAGUGUAGAAGGGGAGAGUGGAAUUCCGCGUGUAGGGGUGAAAUCUGUAGAUAUGCGGAAGAAUACCGGUGGCGAAGGCGACUCUCUGGUCUACAACUGACUCUAAAAUGCGAAAGUGUGGGGAUCAAACAGGAUUAGAUACCCUUGUAGUC